This 207-nucleotide ribosomal RNA is filed under the name uncultured bacterium. RNAcentral describes it as "partial 16S ribosomal RNA". It matches the Rfam family "Bacterial small subunit ribosomal RNA", at positions 568 to 774 of the family's 1533-position model. The record is from RNAcentral.
CACGUAGGCGGACUGGAAAGUUGGAGGUGAAAUCCCAGGGCUCAACCUUGGAACUGCCUUCAAAACUAUCAGUCUGGAGUUCGGGAGAGGUGAGUGGAAUUCCGAGUGUAGAGGUGAAAUUCGUAGAUAUUCGGAGGAACACCAGUGGCGAAGGCGGCUCACUGGCUCGAUACUGACGCUGAGGUGCGAAAGUGUGGGGGGCAAACA